Molecule: ribosomal RNA, 460 nt
Filed under: uncultured bacterium
Lineage: Bacteria
Description: partial 16S ribosomal RNA
Rfam family: Bacterial small subunit ribosomal RNA
Source: RNAcentral
CCUACGGGUGGCAGCAGUGAGGAAUAUUGGUCAAUGGACGAGAGUCUGAACCAGCCAAGUAGCGUGAAGGAUGGCUGCCCUAUGGGUUGUAAACUUCUUUUAUAUGGGAAUAAAAUGUUCCACGUGUGGGCUUUUGUAUGUACCCUAUGAAUAAGGAUCGGCUAACUCCGUGCCAGCAGCCGCGGUAAUACGGAGGAUGCGAGCGUUAUCCGGAUUUAUUGGGUUUAAAGGGAGCGUAGGUGGAUUGUUAAGUCAGUUGUGAAAGUUUGCGGCUCAACCGUAAAAUUGCAGUUGAAACUGGCAGUCUUGAGUACAGUAGAGGUGGGCGGAAUUCGUGGUGUAGCGGUGAAAUGCUUAGAUAUCACGAAGAACUCCGAUUGCGAAGGCAGCUCACUGGACUGCAACUGACACUGAGGCUCGAAAGUGUGGGUAUUAAACAGGAUUAGAUACCCCAGUAGUC